This 861-nucleotide long non-coding RNA is filed under the name Linum usitatissimum (flax). Its description in RNAcentral is "long non-coding RNA (LUSI_LNC003651)". Lineage: Eukaryota; Viridiplantae; Streptophyta; Magnoliopsida; Malpighiales; Linaceae. The record is from RNAcentral.
CAUCUUUCAGAUCACACUCGACCAAAUCAACAGCCUGAAAGAGCGAGUCAACAGAGACAACGAUUCCAAGACCAAGUACAGCACCUACCAGAUCUUGACCUCCCACAUUUGGCGCGCCGUCACCAAGGCCCGCGACCUCCCCGCCGAACAGCCGACUAAGCUCCACAUCUCCACCGACGGAAGGACUCGCCUCAAUCCUCCGCUUGCCAAAGGAUACCUCGGCAAUUGCGUCUUCCACGCCACGCCCAUCGCCACAUCGGGAGAUCUGUUGUCUGAGCCGCUGAUCCGGACCGUGGACCGGAUCCACGACGCGAUCAAGAGGAUGGACGACGAGUACCUGAGAUCCGCCAUCGAUUAUUUGGAAGAUCCGAACGACUCGUCUGCGAUAAUGCAGGUUCCGGGGACUUGCAGGACGCCGAAUCUGAAGAUUAUUAGCUGGAUGCGGCUGCCAUUUGAGUGCGCUGAUUUCGGAUGGGGGAAGCCGAUUUUUAACAGGCCGGCGAAUCUUUUCGAAGGGAAAGGGAAUAUCUUGCCCAAGUACAGCGUCGACGGGAAUCUGUCGCUGGCGCUCUGCUUGGAGACUUACGCCAUGGAGAAUUUCAGGAAGACCUUUUACGAUGUCACUGUGUGAAGAAGAAUAAUUAUUUUAGUGCUUUCUAUCUGUUUUUGUCCUUGAAUCGUAAUUUUUUUCCAAGAUUAUCUUGAUUGUGUCUCUUUUGUAAUGCUUGGGCCUAGGUGGGGUUGUGAGGUUGGCGGUUCCGUCGUCUGUCUGUGUGCAGUGCACACUAGUUAUAUCCUUUUGGUAGAAUGGUCAUAUUUUCAAGUUCGGUUCAAUCAAUAUUGUCAAACUAUUUACAUUCA